GAUGAAGAACGUAGCGAUAUGCGAUAAGUAAUGUGAAUUGCAGAAUUCAGUGAAUCAUCGAAUCUUUGAACGCACAUUGCGCCCGCCAGCACUCUGGCGGGCAUGCCUGUUCGAGCGUCAUUUCAACCAUCAAGCCCCCAGGGGCUUGUGCUGGGGCCCUGCGGCUGCCCGCAGGCCCUGAAAACCAGUGGCGGGCUCGCUAGUCACACCGAGCGCAGUAGCACAUCUCGCUCAGGGCGUGCGGCGGGCUCCUGCCGUGAAACCCCCCACUGUAACCCCAAAGGUUGACCUCGGAUCAGGUAGGAAUACCCGCUGAACUUAAGCAUAUCAAUAAGCGGAGGA
RNAcentral lists this unclassified non-coding RNA (342 nucleotides) under soil metagenome. Its description in RNAcentral is "partial contains 5.8S ribosomal RNA, internal transcribed spacer 2, and large subunit ribosomal RNA". The stretch from base 1 to 120 matches the Rfam family "5.8S ribosomal RNA", at positions 35 to 154 of the family's 154-position model. The record is from RNAcentral.